Molecule: transfer RNA, 73 nt
Filed under: Treponema sp.
Lineage: Bacteria; Pseudomonadati; Spirochaetota; Spirochaetia; Treponematales; Treponemataceae
Description: tRNA-Thr
Rfam family: tRNA
About the family: Transfer RNA (tRNA) molecules are approximately 80 nucleotides in length. Their secondary structure includes four short double-helical elements and three loops (D, anti-codon, and T loops). Further hydrogen bonds mediate the characteristic L-shaped molecular structure. tRNAs have two regions of fundamental functional importance: the anti-codon, which is responsible for specific mRNA codon recognition, and the 3' end, to which the tRNAs corresponding amino acid is attached (by aminoacyl-tRNA synthetases). tRNAs cope with the degeneracy of the genetic code in two manners: having more than one tRNA (with a specific anti-codon) for a particular amino acid; and 'wobble' base-pairing, i.e. permitting non-standard base-pairing at the 3rd anti-codon position.
Source: RNAcentral
GCCGGAGUAGCUCAGUUGGUAGAGCGGCGCACUCGUAAUGCGCAGGUCUGGAGUUCGACUCUCCACUCUGGCU